Molecule: non-coding RNA, 98 nt
Filed under: Vibrio sp. AND4
Lineage: Bacteria; Pseudomonadati; Pseudomonadota; Gammaproteobacteria; Vibrionales; Vibrionaceae
Description: Translational regulator of tfoXVC
Rfam family: Translational regulator of tfoXVC
Source: Rfam by way of RNAcentral
UUUCCAGAGAUGGCAUGGAAACAUGUCAAUCGGCAGCAAGCGAAGGUGUCUUUUACACCCGUGGUACAGUCACCCCGGCCGUACCACGUUUUUUUAUU